Molecule: long non-coding RNA, 455 nt
Organism: Cygnus olor (mute swan)
Lineage: Eukaryota; Metazoa; Chordata; Aves; Anseriformes; Anatidae
Exons: 3
Source: RefSeq, a predicted model, not a curated record
UCAGCCUAUUACUGACACAGCCUUCAGUCUCUAUACUGUUCUCAGGAUAUUAAAAUUAAACUAAAACUGCCACAGUCUUCUCAGAACACCAAACUGGCUCUCAGUAUAUCUACAGUAGGAAAACUAGAUCUGAUUACAGCCCAUUCCAGUGCCAACUUAACCUGGUUCCCAUGGUGAACACAGAAGCUGUGACAUGGGCUUUCAUGUGUGCCAGCAACCAGCCAUGCCCCUCGAGACACUGAUCACUAAUUCAAGCCAGAGGCACACCAUGCCUAAUGAAGAAAAUGAAGAAAGCAAUAGUAGAUUUCUUAAGAAAUCACCUGGCAGCAAGAGUUAGGAGCACAUCAAUAUUCAGCCAGCCAGCCACAUAGCAUAUGAAAACUUUGAUGGAAAAAACAGCAGGACUGGAUGAACUCUUACAAAAUAAAAAGCCAGUGUUGCAUGCUGUAGAUGUA